GGCUGGUCCCAAAGGUAGUGAGUUAUCUCAAUUGAUUGCUCACAGUCAGUUAUAGAUCAAACUCCUUGUUCUAUUCGUUCCCCUCUUCUCACUACUGCACUUGACUAACACUUUU
RNAcentral lists this Y RNA (115 nucleotides) under Aotus nancymaae (Ma's night monkey). RNAcentral's name for it is "Y RNA (ENSANAG00000003164.1)". It matches the Rfam family "Y RNA". Rfam says of the family: Y RNAs are components of the Ro ribonucleoprotein particle (Ro RNP), in association with Ro60 and La proteins. The Y RNAs and Ro60 and La proteins are well conserved, but the function of the Ro RNP is not known. The record is from Rfam by way of RNAcentral. Lineage: Eukaryota; Metazoa; Chordata; Mammalia; Primates; Aotidae.